RNAcentral lists this long non-coding RNA (357 nucleotides) under Dromaius novaehollandiae (emu). Its description in RNAcentral is "lncRNA (ENSDNVG00000013310.1)". Lineage: Eukaryota; Metazoa; Chordata; Aves; Casuariiformes; Dromaiidae. The record is from RNAcentral.
GAAUAGCAGGGAGGUUAUCCAUCAAAAAGCACACAGGCCAUUUGAACUGCAUUCAGAGAUUCAGCAAAUAUUGGUUUUGUCCCAGGAUUCCUUGUUUGCAGGACAGCAUCUUCACACUGUUUCUGGCACUGGGAGCACUGCUGAAUUACAGUGGAGUUGCAGAGCUUUGGAGGCUUCUCAGCAAAUGAUGGACCAAGAACCAGUCUCUGAGGAUAUUCUAAGAGCAACUUAAUGUGAGCUGCCCAACUCAGGCAAGAAUGGUUUUUACAAGGUCUCUGUACCUCUGGAGCCAAUGAUGCAAAACCAUACCCAGCUGUCUCCUUUGAUAAAAUAAAGAAUUAAAGGUAGGUAAAUUCA